ACAAGAGGGCUCUUCUGGGCCAGGGGCACUGGCCUGGAGCGGUGGCAGCACAGGGGGAAUGAACAAUUUGGUUUCUGAUGUGGCUGAGGGAAAUUGUGCCUCUCCAGGUAAGGAGAACUAUCGAGUACCUUCUUUUGCCAUAUCCAGAAGGGAAAGGCAAACCAAGGGCUCUGGGGCUGGGAAUGAGGACAGUGGCACAGUGUCAGACACAUCAUCACCACCUUGAACCCACAGGGCACAGGAGCUGGAUCCUAAGGAGGGAUCGUCACCAGGUGAGCUCUUCCUUGCUCUGGCAGCUUUGAGCUUAUCAUAGUGGGAAGUCCUCAAUCCAAAAACCCAGUGUGCCCUGUGAAGGCACUGACAGGCUCCAGCUGCAGCAGGAGGGUGAGCAGAGAAUGCCCAGCAGGGUGUAAUUCCUGGCUAAAGCCAAGGCCACAGCACAGCCUCCUCCCUCUGUUUGUGCUCUCUGCAUUCUCAAGUUGUGGGUGCUGGUGCCCACACAACCCACCUCUGCCUCUCCCCCUGCCCUACCCUGCUCUGAUCACUCCCCUGGAGCAGAGCAGUUCUCAGCUGCCUUUUCCCUGCCACGUUUCCAAGGGGAGGAUGGCAGCUCUGACAGCUCCCGAGCUGGUAAAUUGAGUUUGCAGUAAUCCCAAAUACCUGAGAUAAGAAGCACAGCUCUGCCAUGGAGGCUGAGGGCUUUAAAAGCAGGGAAGGGCAGGGACUGGGAUGGAUGUACGUGCCUGAUGUCAUGUGUCCCUGCCAGGGCUGGAGCCUAAUUGGAUUUCACAAAUGUGACUUCUGUGUCUCUUGAUCACAAAGCCAAAUUAAACCUCAAGAAGUUUUGAACAAAUCCCUACCUAAAAGUUUGCCUAAAAAAAAAAAAAAAAAAAUAUGAUAGACUCAUUCCAGCCCCUCCUCUGCCCCAGAAGGGGAGCAAAAGGAAAACUUCAAACCAGAACUAUUGCUUUAAAAUAAAUAAGCAGAGAAGCAAAGCACAGCCAGCAGAUCUGCUGAAUUCCUGGGUGCACUGAAUAAAAUCAGUCAUGUGAUAAUGAUGGGAUUUUCUAGAACACCUUUUAGGCAUGCAAUUUCUGCAUUAAAUCUAUUCAGACGUCCCUCGAACAUCUGUUUCUUCUAUAAAAUGGGAGUAGCAGCCACUUUUUACAGUGCACUGACAGCCACAGAUAAAAGCCUGGUAAUUGCUAGCAGGGACUACUUCAAAGUUAACCUGCCAAGAUUUUUAGGGCUAUUGCACAUGAUAGCCCUGUGCUGGUUCACACAAAUUUGGGAGGUGAGGUACAUGUUAAAAUUGUAGGUAACAGUGGGAUUCAAACAGAUUCCAGCCUCUCUUGAAGCCAGAUCAGAAGCAGGCUGAUGCCUGGAGUCACAGUAGCAGAGGGAGCAGAGUAAAUCCCCUGAUUCGCUGUUAAUGUGACCUAAAAUCAGUGGGAGCUGCUUUAGCACGUGGGUGCCACGAGCUGCUCUGCCUCCCUUCAGGGAGACACCAAAACACCUGCUAAAAGCCUGGAUAUCCCCGAAAGAGAGGAGCCAUUUAUAGCUCCUGCCCGGGAAGAUCCACAGCUCUGCAGCAGCACGGGUCCUGGCUGCUUUUCAUCCAGCUCUCCCGAUGUUUAUUCAUGAGUCGGGGUGCAGGGAAGAUGAAAAGGCUGCUGGCAGACUUCUCCCUGGAGUCUCCACUUGAAAUGGUACCACAUUUCCAGGGAAGCCUCACUUGUGCUCAUAACAAGGCUGAUCCUCAUGGGAACACCGUUGUUCCUCUGUAGUUCUCAAGGCAAGCAAACAUUAUCCUUAUUGUCCAAACACUGAGGCACAAGGAGAAGUCAUUAAACCUCACCUGCUUUGGUGAGACCCAGAGCUGGAGUGAGAUUAUUUCAGUGCUCUUGAAAAGCCCAGUGGCAAUCCUGUGAUUUGCUUGGUGCCUCUGGGCUUUACAGCAGCUGUAAAAUAGCACCCAAAAAACCAGGGGCACAGGGACUGCUGGCGCUCGAGCAGAGCAAGUUCUGCUGCAGAAAAGCCACCUGAGAUCUAUGUUUGUAACAGGGAAUGGCAGGUAUUGGAGAAAAACAAACAAACAAACAAAAAACCAAAACAAACAACUAAACCCUUGCCUUUAUGAAAAGAAAGUGAUGUUGUGGAGGACUUCUGAGCUCGGAAUAGCUGCUGCCAUCCUCUGUCACAGCCUCACUCCGUGAGCAGGGACAGCCAGGGACAGGCUGCCAGGGUGCUCAGUUCUUGUGUGCAACAUCCUCUGCUAAGGAACAGCAGUUACUCACUGCCUGGAGAACCUACAGCCUGGAAAAAAAAAAAAGCUCAAUCAACCCGAUUUUUUGUAAUUUUGAAGGGAAGAGUUUUAAAUAUUGAAAAGAAAUCACAUCUCCUGUUAGGUAUUAUAAAACUGGAAAGCUUAAUUUUGCUUUUUUUUCUCGGUUGAUUUGCAAACUCCCCUCAGUGCUGUCGGUGCUGCUGCUGCAUCACGGGGGGCUCUCUGGGGGCUGAAAAGUGUGUUCUCCAAACAAACCAAAACCAGUGUUUUGUGCCUGCACCUGCAGUGUGUGUGAGAGCUGCACAACUCUCUCCCGUGAACUCAUGCAGGUUUUAUUUACUUUGUGUUCAAAUUUACAAGCGCCUUCAAUCAACAACAAAUCCCACAUGGAUAACAAAGUCAGUGUUGCCUUUCCACCGUGGACCCUUUUCUGACACUUUAUGCCAGAACUAUGACAUUUCCACAGAUUUCUUUGGCUUUAAAACCCGUUCCCUGUGGCAGGGAGCUGUAGCACCUUCGAAGUUUCAACAGCCUAGUGAGAGUGAAUUGUUCUAGGAGAGAUUACUCAAGAGCUACUAAUCUUAGCAUAAUAAAGCCUUUGACUGACUUCCAAAGGACCUCAAUGCAUGUGGUAAGUAAACCACUCUCACCUUCUUUCUGGUCUUUCUUACAGGAAACAAAGAGUGAGAGAGACAGCAGUGAUGGAAACUCAGCCCAAGGUCAUGCAGCAAGUGGUGGCAGAGGCUGGAGAGAAAAACAACUUUGCAGGGCCGGGCGCUGUUUGCGAUGGCAAACACUGCGGGUUUCUGUCAGUGCACUUCGUUUCUGGGCACAUCUGUCCUCGCAGGAGACACGAGCAAUUAGCCUGGUCUUCCAGAGGAGCCACCAGGAAUUGUGUGGAGCCGCUGACUCCAGCUGGGAGAGGCAGGAGGGCUCCGAGCCCGUCCCUGGGAGCACAAUCCCCACUGUGCAGCUGCUCCAUCCCACAUCACUGCACACGGCGGCCCUGGACAUGGGGAAACCUGGGAGCAAGGUGGAUGUCACAGAACUGAUCACAGAAGUACAGGACAGAAAGAACCCCCAAGUUUGGGGUGGC
Long non-coding RNA from Pseudopipra pipra, 3383 nucleotides. RefSeq lists it as uncharacterized. The transcript has 3 exons. NCBI's taxonomy places the organism in Eukaryota, Metazoa, Chordata, Aves, Passeriformes, Pipridae. The record is from RefSeq and is a predicted model, not a curated record.